ACGUCUCCCCUCCCCUGACUGCAUCCCAAAACCAAGCCAGCUCGUAGCCGCCUCCCUAACCUGUCCUCCCACCUAUCCACUCCUCCCACCUCAAGCCCCACCCCCAUCUCCUACCUACUGGCGUCAUCCCGCCUCCUUGACCUGUCCGUCCUCCCUGGACUGACCUAUCCCCUCCCUAACUCCCCACCUACACCAUCUUUACUGGCUCCAACCCCGCCUCCUUGACCUAUCUGUCUCCUCUCCACCUAUCUCCUCCUUUAUCCAUCUUCUAUCCGCCUCCCCCUUUCUCCCUAUUUAGUUCAGAAUCCAUUUCUGAAGAAGGGUCUAGACCCGAAACGUCAGCUUUCCUGCUCCUCUGAUGCUGCUUGGCCUGCUGUAUUCAUCCAGCUCUACACCUUGUUGUCUCAGAUUCUCCAGCAUCGGCAGUUCCUACUACCCCUCACACCUGAUGUGGCUAAGUGUGAUAUGGUGUGUUAUCAAGGUCUUUAGACAGACUUGGAACAUUUUAUUACUUUGAAGGUGCAUUUAAAUUCAGGUUGUUCUUUUUAAUCUGCAUUGGGGCCCAUUUCAUCACAUUAAUCCAUGUAAAAUAUUGUGAUUCUCCUUAAAUCAGGAAAAAUACAGCACUAAUAUUUCCAGUUUCAAACCUAUCUAGGAGAUAUAAUAUUAAAGGAAUAUAUAUAUAUAUUCUGAGAUGACUUUUAAUUUUAAGUUAUUAGGUUUUAAAUCUAUCUACACGUACAGUCUAACUGUAGCCAAGUUUGUUUUGAUAUUAGAGUAAAUGUUUUAUUUAUUGUUCAUAUUUACAGUUGUGCCCAGAUACCGUGACUAAGCUGAAGGCUGCUUACAUCUUUGGAAUCACAUAUCAGCAACAAUGUACAUUUCUUGUUUCCAAGCUUUUAUCUGAUUAUGGUGACAUUCAAUUUUAUGACUUAUACAUGCUUUACAAAGGGGAAGAUGGUGAGGAUAAACUUCAUCCUAUUGCAGUUCGUAACUUAAACUUUCAAUACAAUGGACACUUUGUUAACCAAGUGAUUAAUUUUAAUAGCCAGAAAAGUGGAAGCAUCACAAAUUGGGAGCUGCUCUGGUCCCUGUCACAAAUGUUAUUCCCUCGCCACAAGCGCCAUUCCUGUCUCUGCACGGUGAAGCAGUCCCGGAGCAAGGCUGGUGCGGGGAAUCGAGUCCUGGAGCGGAGGCUGGCAUAGGAAGCGAGUCCCGGAGUGGAGGCCAGCACGGGUAAUCAAGUCCCAGAGAAAAUUUAUCUUGGAGCAGCUGAGAGGUGGUACAGACCGGACUGGAGGCUUGGACCAGAACGGGGAAGUUGUUGGUCUGGGUCUGGCGCAGGCUGUCAGACCACAUGUGGAAGCACCUGAGCUACUGCAAUGUAAUACAGAAAAUAACUGGCGUUUUACUAGACGUAUUUUCUUGGUGGAUACUUUAUCUGGUCGUGAAAUUAACCUAAAGAAUGAACCAAAGGUGAUUAGAGUUGCUAACAGUAUAAAAAUCAGGGUCAAUCUUGUGCCUAACACUCUACAAGGAAAUAUCUUUCCUCCUACUCUGAUUGUUUCCUACAAAAGUAUUAAGAUCCAAGAUCCAGAUCAACAGUCUGUUGCAAUAUCUUUUUCAGUUGAAUAUGAAAUGGACUUGUCUGCAUCUUAUCAGAAUACAGAG
This is a long non-coding RNA of Rhincodon typus (whale shark), 1671 nucleotides long. RefSeq lists it as uncharacterized. The record is from RefSeq and is a predicted model, not a curated record. The transcript has 6 exons. Lineage: Eukaryota; Metazoa; Chordata; Chondrichthyes; Orectolobiformes; Rhincodontidae.